CUCCCUCCUCCCCUCCCUGCCUCCCUCCUCCCAUCUCUGUCUCCCUCUUCCCCUCCCUGCUUCCCUCCUCCCCACCUUCCCUCCCUCUUCCCCUCCUUCCCUCCCUCUUCCCCUCCUUCCCUCCCUCUUCCCCUCCUUCCCUCCCUCUUCCCCUCCUUCCCUCCCUCCUCAAGCACAACACAUCCACAUCGGCCCCCAGCCCAGCGCAGCUUUAAGAGACCCACUUACCUCAGAGGAACCCAAUCAAUCCCCACAAACACCUCUCUAGAAUAGGAAGAUGGAGAUACAGAGAUCCAGCACUUGUGUGAAGAGUAAGUUCAAGUUUCUGCAGGAUUGUUAGCGCAAAACCGAAGAACUGGCAGCCUCCCUGGGAGAGGAGAACAUUGGUGAUAAUGUCCAAUCAGAGAAUGGAGAUCAUGUUGAAACUAGGCAAAAGGAUCCUAGAGGAAACUGAAGGGUUUUGUAGGGAAG
This 471-nucleotide long non-coding RNA is filed under the name Homo sapiens (human). RNAcentral describes it as "HSALNT0162823". Lineage: Eukaryota; Metazoa; Chordata; Mammalia; Primates; Hominidae. The record is from RNAcentral.